GGGAGCUAAAGAAGCCGUUAUCCGUGUAUCUCCUUCUUUGCCCAUCUUCCCCAUAAUUACAAGGAAAAGUUUGUAUUGGAUUCACCAACACUACAGGAUAAACGGAGCUGUCUUUAACAAUAUUAGACACAGGUAAAGCCUCAGCAGGAAAAUGUGAAUUUUUGAAGGUGGUAAAACGAGUUUUCCUUGAUAGGAAGUUAUAAUUUCAAUGCAAGGACUAGAAUUUUAUCAACAGAAUUAGCAAGAGGGAUUUUAGCAUGUUAUGGUAACAUAUAAUUUCACUGUGAAAAAAUCCCAAAUGCUUUCGGUCUUCCAGGUUAUUAGAAUGCAGUAACAACCAGUAUGCAAUGCAUGCUGCAAUAUUACCCACAAGGGGGUUGGAUAUUUCACAGAAACCUGCCAUUAUUGAUCAUUAUGAUAAUUAUAAUUGAUAAUUUUUAAAAAAUGCUUUCAUUUUGCUAAGCUACAAUUUCUUACCUAAUUGGAUUUAUAUCCUUUCUUUCUCAAUAUUCUGCCCAUGAUUUGUAAUUAUCACAAUUCAUAAUUUUAAAAUUCUAUAGGAGAUUGUAUUUUCAAAAGCCUCCUGCAAGAAUAUCUGCCAUCUGACAUACUCUUUUGUAAUGUAACUCGCCACUAACCCGUGGAAAGAUGCAGUGUGCGUCUGAACUACCUUGCAUCUGUGUGGAGUCUGUGACUGCGAUGAUGCCGCAGACGUGCUGUCGUGUGACUUCUGAGGAUACAUCUUAAGGAGUCAAAUCCUAGUAUCUUCUCUUUUGACUGCUCAUCCUAGGGAAACUCUGCUUGGAACAUGGUACCCUUGCCAUGAGAGGCCCAACCCAUGUGGAGAAGUCAACUGUAGGUGCUCUGAGUCCACGGCCCCAGGAGAGUUCUGCAACGUCAGCCAGUGCCAACUGCCCGUGGUGUGAGCGCACCUGCCUGGACUGAGGCAGGCUUUGGAUGACUGAGUCUUGGCCAACCUCCAUCUGCACCUGCAUCUGAAACCUCAAAUAAGAACUGCAGCCAACCCAGAUAACUAUGAGAGAUGAUAAUAAAUUGUUCAAGUAUAAUAAAGUGCGGGAUGGUUGGUUAGCCACAACAGAUAGCUGAAACAGAUGCUUACAGUGGCCUCUAAGACAGUCCGGGAGCAUGCAUAGUUGACUCACCCUUCCCAGUGUCACCUUCUCUCACUCCCCAGUCCCACUCCCUGAACAUCGCGUUGCCCCUGAGGAAGUGGACUGAACAAUUUCAGGACACAAUUGGAACAACUGUUUAUUUUACUAAGGCUAUGGCUGGAAUGGCAUGCUGUACUGACCUGUGGUUUUUAUUGUCUACUGGUAGACUGGACUGGAUUCUGAAUUCUAGUUUCCUCCAAUAUCUGGCUACAACUCUCCAAGUAAGAAGAAGAACUGCUUUGUUUCUGAAGGCCUCUGAGCUGGAGCUGGACAACUUGAUGUAAAUUUUUAGGAACAAAUCUCAAGCCUGAUGUGUGGGCUACACAGAGAUUUCACCAAAUUGAGGGUCCCAUUGCCAGGGACCCUCAAACUGAAAACCAGGAUAAGCAGCUGACAACUUCAUGCUGUGGACAGCUUUUCCCAGGACCUGGGAGAAACACUCCCAGUCACAGCGAGAGCCCGGGCCCCUCUUAGUUUCUCCUUGCUGAUGCAGAGCUCUUUUGCUGGGCAGGAUAAUGCUGUAGGUAGAAUUGCACAAUCAGGAGCUUCUGCUGGUGACUUCACGAAACACUGGAUCCGUCAUACCAAACCCAAAUCUUUACAUGACUUAAGGGGUCCUUUAGUCCACCCAGUGGGUAACGUUAGCAGCAUCCAUAAUACAACUGUGUUUAAAUUCUCACUGUGUUUAAAAAUGGUCCCUUUUAUAGAGUAAGAUUUCUAGAAAUCUCACUCUCUGCUUUAAUUUAACCGAGUCGUGGCAUACCAGAUAAUUGAACUGCUACCUACCAGCUGAGCCGGGAGAAGGAGUCUGUGCAGUUGCCGACACUUCUUAUUGCAGAUGGAUAAAUGCAUUGGGUAUCACAGAGACUCCACGGCAAAAAUGAAUGAACAAGCUCCUUGGUUAAAAUGAGUAGAUUCGCCGUCCG
RNAcentral lists this long non-coding RNA (2098 nucleotides) under Homo sapiens (human). RNAcentral's name for it is "HSALNT0082609". The record is from RNAcentral. Lineage: Eukaryota; Metazoa; Chordata; Mammalia; Primates; Hominidae.